This 255-nucleotide ribosomal RNA is filed under the name uncultured bacterium. Its description in RNAcentral is "partial 16S ribosomal RNA". It matches the Rfam family "Bacterial small subunit ribosomal RNA", at positions 524 to 776 of the family's 1533-position model. The record is from RNAcentral.
UACGUAGGGUGCGAGCGUUUGUCCGGAAUUAUUGGGCGUAAAGAGCUUGUAGGCGGUUUGUCGCGUCUGCUGUGAAAAUCCGGGGCUCAACCCCGGACUUGCAGUGGGUACGGGCAGACUAGAGUGUGGUAGGGGAGACUGGAAUUCCUGGUGUAGCGGUGAAAUGCGCAGAUAUCAGGAGGAACACCGAUGGCGAAGGCAGGUCUCUGGGCCACUACUGACGCUGAGAAGCGAAAGCAUGGGGAGCGAAACAGG